GAAUGGAUGAAAAUGCAGACCUCGCCGCCACCACUUUUUUGACCUCCACCUACCAUGCUACUAAACCUCAAUCCUAAUUCCCAACUCAACAACUCGACGAUGAUGUCCGAUGAUUCCUUGGCUCGCCACUGCGCUUUCUUCUCUGCCUCCAUGAGCGCUCCAUCCUUCCCCACCUCUAUGAGCAUUCAUCUCGGCGCCAUAUUGGUUCAUAUUCAGAAAUGGUUUCAAGAAUGAGCUGACCCUUAUGCUGAAGGCUCAACAUCCUAACUUGAUUCAGUUUGUUGGAGCUGUCACUCAAAAUAUACCCAUGAUGAUUGUUUCUGAAUCCCUUCCCAAAGGCGACUUUGGAAGCUAUCUUAGAAAGCAACGGCGUCUAAAUAUUAUCAAAGCUCUUUGGUUUGCACUAGACAUUGCUAGGCAUGUUAUAUCCGCUCUUCCCUGCCAAGUUACUAUUAUAAUUGUAAAUUUUCUGUUGUAAUCCAUGAAUAGUUAUUGCUAGCUAUUGUGAUCCUCCUCAAUUAUUUAUGACACUGCAAAGGAAGUAGAUGCCAAA
This is a long non-coding RNA of Zingiber officinale, 553 nucleotides long. RefSeq lists it as uncharacterized. The record is from RefSeq and is a predicted model, not a curated record. Lineage: Eukaryota; Viridiplantae; Streptophyta; Magnoliopsida; Zingiberales; Zingiberaceae. The transcript is spliced from 3 exons.